AGUGAACGCUGGCGGUAGGCCUAACACAUGCAAGUCGAACGGCAGCACAGUAAGAGCUUGCUCUUACGGGUGGCGAGUGGCGGACGGGUGAGGAAUACAUCGGAAUCUACUUUUUCGUGGGGGAUAACGUAGGGAAACUUACGCUAAUACCGCAUACGACCUACGGGUGAAAGCAGGGGAUCUUCGGACCUUGCGCGAUUGAAUGGGCCGAUGUCGGAUUAGCUAGUUGGCGGGGUAAGGGCCCACCAAGGCGACGAUCCGUAGCUGGUCUGAGAGGAUGAUCAGCCACACUGGAACUGAGACACGGUCCAGACUCCUACGGGAGGCAGCAGUGGGGAAUAUUGGACAAUGGGCGCAAGCCUGAUCCAGCCAUACCGCGUGGGUGAAGAAGGCCUUCGGGUUGUAAAGCCCUUUUGUUGGGAAAGAAAAGCAGCAGGUUAAUACCCCGCUGUUCUGACGGUACCCAAAGAAUAAGCACCGGCUAACUUCGUG
This 492-nucleotide ribosomal RNA is filed under the name uncultured bacterium. RNAcentral's name for it is "partial 16S ribosomal RNA". It matches the Rfam family "Bacterial small subunit ribosomal RNA", at positions 29 to 507 of the family's 1533-position model. The record is from RNAcentral.